UGGAUCACCUCCUAACAGGGAGACAACAAAAUGUUUAAUAUUAUUAUUUUGUCACCUUAGGUCGAUCGGUAUCUCACGUUUUUAAUUUAUUAAAAAUUUCAUUUCCUAAGUUUUUCUAGGUCACACCCAUUAUUUUUCCUGGGCCAUUAGCUCAGGUGGUUAGAGCGCACCCCUGAUAAGGGUGAGGUCCCUGGUUCAAGUCCAGGAUGGCCCAUAUCUCUAUGUUGGGGGUAUAGCUCAGUUGGUAGAGCGCCUGCUUUGCAAGCAGGAUGUCAGCGGUUCGAGUCCGCUUACCUCCACUGAUUACCACCUCUUCCAUAACCGGUAGAAAGGAAAUGUUUUGAGUCGUGAUCAAAUUCUGAAAGAAUCUAGCUUCCUAAUGAAAUCAUUAAGAUGCUGGACUCAUUGAAUUAAUUUCAUUGUUUUCAGAGAACCUUGACAACUGCAUAGAUUAUUUUUAAAGACAAUAAGCAUCUUUAAUGAUGCAGAUUUAUUAUUUGUGCGAAUGCAUUAAUAACAAUUCUAUUAAGCUGAUGCUUCAAUUUUUGAAGUUAUUGGUCAAGCUACAGAGGGCUCACGGAGGAUACCUAGGCACACAGAGGCGAUGAAGG
RNAcentral lists this transfer RNA (611 nucleotides) under uncultured Prochlorococcus sp. RNAcentral's name for it is "partial contains 16S ribosomal RNA, 16S-23S ribosomal RNA intergenic spacer, and 23S ribosomal RNA". The stretch from base 227 to 299 matches the Rfam family "tRNA". Lineage: Bacteria; Bacillati; Cyanobacteriota; Cyanophyceae; Synechococcales; Prochlorococcaceae. The record is from RNAcentral.